GAUGAACGCUGGCGGCGUGCCUAAUACAUGCAAGUCGAGCGCACAGACGUGGUGCUUGUUCCUCUUGGGUUAGCGGCGGACGGGUGAGUAACACGUGGAGAACCUGCCUUUAAGCGUGGGACAACUUCUGGAAACGAGUGCUAAUACCGGAUAAUAUCUUUAACCACAUGGUUCAAUAUUGAAAGACGCUAUUGCUUCCCCCUAUAGUUAUCUCCGCGUCGCUUAGCCUAUUUGGUAGGUUAAGGCCCUACCAAGCCAAGGAUCAUAACCCGACCUGGAGGGUUGAUCGGCAACAUGGGAACUGGACAACGGUCCAACCUCCUACGGGAGCCAGAAGAGGGGAAUCUUCGGCAAUGGCCGAAAGCUUGACGGAGCAAGGCCGGUGGGUUGAGGAGGGUCUCCGAAUCUUAAACCUCUUUUAUUAGGGAAGAACAAAUGGGUAAGUAAAUAUGCACGUAUUGACGGUACCUAAUCAGAAAGCCACGGCUAACUACGUG
This 497-nucleotide ribosomal RNA is filed under the name uncultured bacterium. RNAcentral's name for it is "partial 16S ribosomal RNA". It matches the Rfam family "Bacterial small subunit ribosomal RNA", at positions 28 to 507 of the family's 1533-position model. The record is from RNAcentral.